CAUCACGUAGCUCCUCCGAACUCUAAUCUUCACAUUCAGCACGAAAUGUUAAAAUAAAUCCACAUAAUCUCCUUCCUUUCUGCGAGUCACUUUGCAUCAAAAUACUCAGGUGGUCACGCUGUGUAAUCAACAGGUGUGAACCCUCAGGUGUUUUCAGACGCUUCCACCUCUCGCGCCAACUAUUUGCAAAGGUCAAAGAGUAAGUUAGUCUGGUUCUAAUGAGUGUUUCUUUAGGUUCACGGUACAGAGAAAUCGUCAAACUAACCGCCAAACACUUUAGGUUCACGGUACAGAGGAAUGGUCAAACUAACCGCCAAACACUUUAGGUUCACGGUACAGAGGAAUGGUCAAACUAACCGCCAAACACUUUAGGUUCACG
Molecule: long non-coding RNA, 379 nt
Organism: Eriocheir sinensis (Chinese mitten crab)
Lineage: Eukaryota; Metazoa; Arthropoda; Malacostraca; Decapoda; Varunidae
Exons: 3
Source: RefSeq, a predicted model, not a curated record